CAUUACCGAGUUUUCAACUCCCAAACCCCUGUGAACAUACCAUUUUGUUGCCUCGGCGGUGCCUGUUCCGACAGCCCGCCAGAGGACCCCAAACCCAAACUUCCUUGAGUGAGUCUUCUGAGUAACCGAUUAAAUCAAUCAAAACUUUCAACAACGGAUCUCUUGGUUCUGGCAUCGAUGAAGAACGCAGCGAAAUGCGAUAAGUAAUGUGAAUUGCAGAAUUCAGUGAAUCAUCGAAUCUUUGAACGCACAUUGCGCCCGCCAGUAUUCUGGCGGGCAUGCCUGUUCGAGCGUCAUUACAUCCCUCAAGCCCCCGGGCUUGGUGUUGGGGAUCGGCGAGCCUCAGCGCCCGCCGUCCCCUAAAUUUAGUGGCGGUCACGCUGUAACUUCCUCUGCGUAGUAGCACACUUAGCACUGGGAAACAGCGCGGGGSCACGCCRUAAAACCCCCCAACUUUUGAACGUUUGACCUCGAAUCAGGUAGGACUACCCGCUGAACUUAAGCAUAUCAAUAAGCGGAGGAAGGAC
Molecule: ribosomal RNA, 527 nt
Filed under: uncultured Cylindrocarpon
Lineage: Eukaryota; Fungi; Ascomycota; Sordariomycetes; Hypocreales; Nectriaceae
Description: eukaryotic LSU rRNA
Rfam family: 5.8S ribosomal RNA (bases 143-296)
Source: RNAcentral